RNA transcript from Theobroma umbraticum, 2608 nucleotides. RefSeq lists it as uncharacterized. The record is from RefSeq and is a predicted model, not a curated record. Lineage: Eukaryota; Viridiplantae; Streptophyta; Magnoliopsida; Malvales; Malvaceae.
GAAACCAAAGUUCCGAGUAAAAAAAGAGAAAAGACUGGAAAGAAAUAGAAAUGGCGUUGGUUCGCAAAGGUUUAGUAUCCGUGGCUAAAAGAGGUUUAAGCCCUCAAAUUACGCUAAUCCCUUUCAAAUCUCAACGUUUGUUCUGCAACGAGCCAUCGUCUUCCAAUCCUCUUCUCAAGAAACUGCUUCAGGUGCCCAGCUCAUUAAUCAAGACUACGCUUGAUUCUGAUGAUCGUUUCGCCCUACGAAAUUCGGCAUUUCCCUGGGAUGCCCUUGUCGCCGGUCUCCCAUCUUUGUCAUCUGAGAAGGCUCAGCUGGUUUUGGAAUGGAAAUUAGAGAAAAUGUUGAAGGAAAAUGAGAGAGAUUAUGAUCAAUACUUGAAUUUGAUGUCUCUCUGUGCAAAGACUCGAAAUGUUCCACUUGCAAUGCAUGUGUUCACUUCAAUGGAGGCUCAUGGGAUUAAACCAACGGCUUCUGUUUUCAAUUCCCUUCUACAUGCUUGCUUGUGUUUGAAUGAUGCGAUAACAGCAUUCAGCUUAUUUGAGAUAAUGGAGAGGUCAGAGGGCUAUAAACCAGAUUCUGAGACUUAUGAGACUUUCAUAAUUGGCUUUUCAAGUUUGGGAAAUGCUGUUGCCAUGAAAAGUUGGUAUUCAGCAAAAAAAGCUGCAGGUUAUUGUGCUACUUUACAAACAUAUGAAUCUCUCAUUUCUGGUUGUAUCAAAUCUGGCGACUUUGAUGGUGCCGAAAAAUUCUAUGAAGAAAUAAGGUCGAUAGGAAUAAUGCCUAAUGAGCACAUAUUGGAGAAUUUGCUGGAAGGGUUUUGUAGACAGAGAAGGUUUAGGCAAGCUAAAGAGUUAUUGAAAUCGUUUCUGGAUGUUGGGCGGGAAAUUAGUGUGAAGAUGGCUAAGAAGAUUGUGUGUUUGUAUUCUGAAUACGGGAAGGUAGAAGAAAUGGAGGAACUACUUUCAACUGUAGUGGAGUCAGGUCAAGUUGUUGAAGUUAUGUUGCAGGUGCACUCUGGAAUUAUAAGGAUGUAUGCCACGUUAAAUAGAUUGGAUGAUGCAGAAUACUCAGUGGGCAGGAUGUUGAAACAAGGGUUGGCAUUUAGAUGCGCUAAUGAUGUUGAGAAGGUCAUCUGCUGUUACUUCAGGAAAGAAGCUUAUGAUAGGCUAGAUAUAUUUUUGGAACAUAUUAAGGGUUCUCAUAAGCUUUCAAAAUCAACUUAUGAUUUGCUGAUUGCUGGAUAUCGAAGAGCUGGGCUUUCUCAGAGAUUAGAUUCGGUGAUAAAGGACAUGGAAUUGUCUGGGGUUUUAUAGCAUCUUAGUUGGAAAGACAGGUUCUUUUGCAAACAGAGUGAAGCCAACAGUCUGCCUUUGGCUUUGACUGUGGCAUUUUUGCUCAUUUAAGUAGUGAUUAAGGAUAUGCUUCCUGCACAAUAAUGCCGCAAGUUGCUAGCAGGUUUUCUGGAACCAAUCAAAUAAAACUGAGCUGAUGUUUUCUGGAUUGGGACUAUUAUAUGGUGGCUGCUCAAUUAAUUGCUUGCACCAUACAUGCAAUAGAGCAUUGUUUGAAGUUAAAUUAAGUCAAAACAGUAAUGGGCUUAAUAGAGAUUAGUGAGUGUGUGAUUUGCCAAAGGCAGAGGAAAAUAUGUUAGAAAAUUGGAGACAUUUUCUCUUUGGUUGACAUCAAACUUUAGGUGCUCAUACUGAAAUUCUUUGGGGAGAUGAUCAUCCUUUGCUUGAACCAAAUCUAUGCUUUAGAAUAAUAUAUCAUCAUUGCAUUGGACAUGUUUCCGUGCAUGAGGUUGGAUGCAUCUGUUUUUAAAGGAUGGCCUAUACUGACCUUGGAGAUGAAGUUGGGCAGUAUAAGAUAAUUACUAGGAGUUAAUUGACGAAAGAAUUUCAAGAUGCCAGGGUAAGCUACGCUGCUCCGGAUCCCUCUGCCUCUGCCUCAGCCUCAGCCUCAGCCAAAGUUUUUGAGCCAGGAGAUUACAAAAAAUGUGCCUAUUGUGCGGCUUUUUUAAGAAAACUAGUCUUGAUGGAUAAUAAUAGAAUGAUGAUUGAUGCUGUGUCGUUAUAAUUGUUCAGAAAGGGAUUCUGCUGCUGAGGAAUGGCUGCUCGGGAUGAUGAAUGUGUAUGGUGGUGCGAAGGAUGGUGCUGCCGGUGUCAUGGAUCCGAGGUUCUGUAAAUGAAGGUAUGCCUUUUAUGAUGAUUUAUGGUCGGUUGAUGGCUUUAACAAUAGGUGACCUUCACCCACACUAGUAGACAAGCCAACCAUAUAGCUGAGGGGCUUGCCAAAGUUGGGGUCAUCAGGCACGGGUAUUUCUCAUCUCUCUUUUAAUGCUUGUCAAUUUUUCUAUGUUUUUGGAUCAUCUUGCGGAUGCUUUUUCGCCCUUUCCAAUCACUGGUUCAUGGAUCCUUUCUGGCUGGCUUUAGGUUUUGCUAGGGAAAUUAUGAUUUCUCAUUCUAUGUUUUUGGCUUCUUCUGUUGUCAUUGAUUGUUGGAUGUCGGUAUUGUAUUGGUUGUCCGUCCCCUGGCCAGUGUUUUACUAUGAUAUUUGUUUGCGUUGAAAGUGCAGAAUACUGCAGCCCAAGUGUUCCUAACGAUCG